GAUUAUUGAAUUUUUAUUUUAAUAUUGCAGAAGAAAAAUUCGAAAUUACAAUUGAAUUAAAAAUUACAUUAAUUAUUGUAGCAACUUAAUUAAUAAUUUUAUUCAGGCUCAGACUCCGAGCUCUCUUCCGCGGCAGUUUCCAACCAAGUUAACCACGAAUUCACCUAUAUAAAGAGAUCAGAGUCAAUGCAAACGUUCAUAAUGACAAAUGAAGGGUGUUGCCAUAAUUUAUUCACACACAUGGUGCGAAAAUAUCGGCUAAGAGAGCUGCAAUUUUAUCGAAAUACGUCAAAAUAUGUCAAAAAAUGAAAUACGGUUGUAGCUAUGAUUGGCUAUUUCUAUAUCACGUCAUAAUUAGUGGUUGUUACUUUUAUUAGAUUGUCGUUGUUAUAUGAAAUUGAGGGCAUUUUGAUACUAAAAUUAAAACUAUAUAGUAUGGGUGGAAAGCGACAGGAUCAGGACCAUGUCGCAGCUUAUGUAUGAACCAGGUUAUUUCCACCUUGGGAAAAAUGCACAGAAAUAUUGGAUAUUUAAAAAAAUUAUAUGGCAGACCAGGGGGUCCUGCAGCCAAGAAACGGUUUUUGUCAAACAGGAAGGGAUCAGGAAAUAUGCUUGGUUCUUGGUACACCAAGGCAUUUUGCGCAGAUUCUUCAGAAAUUGUUUGUAGUUGUUUACAAAUUCAGGAAUUUUGCGCAGAUUUUCAUAAUAGACCUUUCCUGUAAUUACGUCACAGCUACAUUGUUUUCAACUGAGGACCUCCUUAAAUGGAAUGGAUUUAAAGUUUUUUCUCACAGGCUAUGCGCAAAGAAGCAGAGCAUCCUUCUUCAACACAUGCAUGAAAAAGAUUUUUUUAUUUUGACCAAUAAAUGUGAAACUAAGCUUUAACCCAAAAAGGAGGCUGAGGGGCAAUGGCCCCUUUGGGUUUUGAAGCAAGAAUAUUUAUAAUGAGACGAGUUUUUAAAGCUCUCAUAUUCUUUACAAAUCGAAUCGUUAUAGUUGUUUAAAUUUAGUUUUACUAACAAGAAAAUGUCUUUCCUAUGAAACUUGAAAGAUACAGCUUGUGACACAUAUUCAAAUUAACUUUAGAAGGGCUCACUAGAUAAUGACAC
Molecule: non-coding RNA, 1109 nt
Organism: Paramuricea clavata
Lineage: Eukaryota; Metazoa; Cnidaria; Anthozoa; Malacalcyonacea; Plexauridae
Source: the annotation of a GenBank genome assembly